This 562-nucleotide ribosomal RNA is filed under the name uncultured bacterium. Its description in RNAcentral is "bacterial SSU rRNA". It matches the Rfam family "Bacterial small subunit ribosomal RNA", at positions 338 to 916 of the family's 1533-position model. The record is from RNAcentral.
CCUACGGGAGGCAGCAGUGGGGAAUCUUGGACAAUGGGGGCAACCCUGAUCCAGCCAUGCCGCGUGAGUGAUGAAGGCCUUAGGGUCGUAAAGCUCUUUCGCCUGUGAAGAUAAUGACAGUACCUGGUAAAGAAACCCCGGCUAACUCCGUGCCAGCAGCCGCGGUAAUACGCUCGAGGGGUUAGCGUUGUUCGGAAUUACUGGGCGUAAAGCGCGCGUAGGCGGAUUGGAAAGUUGGGGGUGAAAUCCCGGGGCUCAACCCCGGAACUGCCUCCAAAACUAUCAGUCUAGAGUUCGAGAGAGGUGAGUGGAAUUCCGAGUGUAGAGGUGAAAUUCGUAGAUAUUCGGAGGAACACCAGUGGCGAAGGCGGCUCACUGGCUCGAUACUGACGCUGAGGUGCGAAAGUGUGGGGAGCAAACAGGAUUAGAUACCCUGGUAGUCCACACCGUAAACGAUGAAUGCCAGUCGUCGGCAAGCAUGCUUGUCGGUGUCACACCUAACGGAUUAAGCAUUCCGCCUGGGGAGUACGGUCGCAAGAUUAAAACUCAAAGGAAUUGACGG